This 468-nucleotide ribosomal RNA is filed under the name uncultured bacterium. RNAcentral's name for it is "partial 16S ribosomal RNA". It matches the Rfam family "Bacterial small subunit ribosomal RNA", at positions 28 to 507 of the family's 1533-position model. The record is from RNAcentral.
GACGAACGCUGGCGGCGUGCUUAACACAUGCAAGUCGAACGGAAAGGCCCUGCUUUUGUGGGGUGCUCGAGUGGCGAACGGGUGAGUAACACGUGAGUAACCUGCCCUUGACUUUGGGAUAACUUCAGGAAACUGGGGCUAAUACCGGAUAGGAGCUCCUGCUGCAUGGUGGGGGUUGGAAAGUUUCGGCGGUUGGGGAUGGACUCGCGGCUUAUCAGCUUGUUGGUGGGGUAGUGGCUUACCAAGGCUUUGACGGGUAGCCGGCCUGAGGGGGUGACCGGCCACCUUGCGACUGAGAUACGGCCCAGACUCCUACGGGAGGCAGCAGUGGGGAAUAUUGCACAAUGGGCGGAAGCCUGAUGCAGCAACGCCGCGUGCGGGAUGACGGCCUUCGGGUUGUAAACCGCUUUCGCCUGUGACGAAGCGUGAGUGACGGUAAUGGGUAAAGAAGCACCGGCUAACUACGUG